AGUGAACGCUGGCGGUAGGCCUAACACAUGCAAGUCGAACGGCAGCACAGUAAGAGCUUGCUCUUACGGGUGGCGAGUGGCGGACGGGUGAGGAAUACAUCGGAAUCUACUUUUUCGAGGGGGAUAACGUAGGGAAACUUACGCUAAUACCGCAUACGACCUACGGGUGAAAGCAGGGGAUCUUCGGACCUUGCGCGAUUGAAUGAGCCGAUGUCGGAUUAGCUAGUUGGCGGGGUAAAGGCCCACCAAGGCGACGAUCCGUAGCUGGUCUGAGAGGAUGAUCCGCCACACUGGAACUGAGACACGGUCCAGACUCCUACGGGAGGCAGCAGUGGGGAAUAUUGGACAAUGGGCGCAAGCCUGAUCCAGCCAUACCGCGUGGGUGAAGAAGGCCUUCGGGUUGUAAAGCCCUUUUGUUGGGAAAGAAAAGCAGCAGGUUAAUACCCCGCUGUUCUGACGGUACCCAAAGAAUAAGCACCGGCUAACUUCGUG
This 492-nucleotide ribosomal RNA is filed under the name uncultured bacterium. RNAcentral describes it as "partial 16S ribosomal RNA". It matches the Rfam family "Bacterial small subunit ribosomal RNA", at positions 29 to 507 of the family's 1533-position model. The record is from RNAcentral.